Molecule: long non-coding RNA, 4017 nt
Filed under: Mus musculus (house mouse)
Lineage: Eukaryota; Metazoa; Chordata; Mammalia; Rodentia; Muridae
Description: long non-coding RNA chr15:67177005-67181022
Source: RNAcentral
UCUAGCUUGGGGCUUCCUGCAAGCUCAAUAUAGCUCAGCCAAGCCACGUGGACAGCAGCGGGCUGGGUGGAGGCCGGACCCGUCUGAGAGACGCCGGAGGAGGCAGCGCGGGAACAAUAUCACUGCCUCAAGAGAGGGAUCUGCGGGAACAGCUGGCGAGGCUAGGGAAGAACUCCCGAGAGGCUCGAAGCCCGUGGGGUCAACCCGAGGGACGAGGCGUUGGGCGUGCACCGAGAGGAUGUGGCUGGCGGUGCCCAGAAGAGCCCCAUUCAGGGUCGCAGUGGAGAGAGAGGGCGAUCAGGCAAAGCCACCGCUUUUUCUGAGGGCGUGGGACUCGAGGUGGGAUUUAGGUAGGCUUGGGGAGGGGCACCGCGGGGUUAGGGAUUGCGGUGUCUGUGCAGCCAGGACUGGGAGCCGCAGAGCAGGUCACUAUAAGCAUCCACAUCCCCGCCCUUCCCGUCUACUCCGCCGAGGGCCUUUCCUUUGCGGAUGGAUAGACAGCUUCGCAGACCAGCGCUAAGCAAAGGCUGAUAGUGGGAAUCAGAGUUAGAAAGGUCCCCAAGGCAGCCUGGGGAUGGGGAUUUGGUUUAGGUUAGGGUAGAAGUUUUUCUGUUUUAAUAGGGAAGUGAGGGUACGGAAUUUAACGUGUGUGGGUCGUAGAUCAUAAAUGGUGGAUUUAAAAGGCAUUUCUAAGAUCUGGUUUGUCAGUGGGUAUCCUCUCACUGGAACUAUCUCAUCUACAACUUUUCCGUGGAAUGUUAAGAGGAAAGACGGUGUGCGCAGGAGUCUCUCCGUUUUCAGUUCUGGAGACUUCUGGGGACAAGCCUUUGCAGUGGGGGAGGCCAGAGCUGCCUGGCUGUUUACUCACUAGAAUGAGGCUGUAAUGUUGGGGCGAAUUUGCGGCACUUCUCCAUUACGGUGUGAUCUUGGGCUCUUUGGGCCAUAUCCACUGUUUCCUAGGUUUGUGUUUCCACGUACUCCCUUGCAAAGGGCCCUGGUCCCAGCGUUCGUUUGCUUGGGUUGUUGUACUGAGCAAGUGGAUACAGGGCUCUUGAAACUGCCCUUGGCAUCUAAGAGCUCACUCAAUCCAAGCCAGCUUGUGGAAGGAGGAAGGAGUGGGUUUCAACUCUGCUUCUGGACUGCCUAGAUAGGGUUGGUACACUGUGUAAGUUCCGAGGAAGUAGAAGAGAAAUUGUUAAAAGGGAAGAAGUGGAGGACAAAGAAACAACAAACUACCAGAAAAGGAAGGAAAAGAACAGAAACCUCUAAGUUAUAAUUUGUGUGUGCGGGGUAAGGGAGAAGUAUUGCCAAGACUCUUCCAGUUAAACCUCACUGGGGUCUGAUCUGCCACUGGGCUGUCCCUCACCAGGAUAUGAGAGGAGGGGGUCUCCAAGGUGUUCUAUGACCUGUGCUGAGUAGUUUUCUCUGCUGUUCUAGGUUGGUUUGGGUUUCCAUGCUAGAAACGAGGUGAGGUCCUUGUCACUGGGCGCAUCUCUAUGAGCUGUGUUCUCUCUGAGAAGCUGUUCAAACUGCAGCGCCUGGCAUUCUUUUGUGUGUAUGUGAGAGGAAGGCAGAGAUCCCAUCCCCAUCGGCUACUGUCCUCCCUAGCACAACAUCUUGCAGCCCUAUCUAGUGUGAGCCACUUAGAUCCUUGGUCCCCACAGAUACAGUUUGGAGCAGGAACAUACUCACACUGUGGUGACUUUCAGUAGAAUACAAGUUAAAUGGUCACCUAACUGGACCUCAGGGUUAAAGAAAAGAGCCCUGUGGUUUGCAAGCCUGUAUCUGCUGCCCAUGUGCCUCUUGAUUUGAUGAGGCUUACUGUAGCUGAGGAACACUGUGCCUUGCUUCCCGCUGACUGGAGUCCUCUCCCUGUAGUCCAGAAGCUAGUAAGGGAGUGCUGGAUGAAUUAAUUGUAGUGUUCUGGCAAGGAGGCAGAGUGCAUAGGGAAUCACUUAGGGAGAUGGAAAAAUACUAUAUGAAUGGAAGGCUGCUAUUAUAAUCUAAUGGAUUCUGUAGAGGGAAGGUUAGAUUAGGCAAAUGAAUAGCCCCAGGUCAUCCAGCUGGUUACACUUAUAUUGCUGAGAGCCCACACCAGCUCUGUGUCCACCCCAGAGUCUUAGUGGGGUCUCUGGAUGACUCUGAAAAGGACUCUGGUGAGCUCUGAUGAGUGUAUAUAAACCGUCACCUUCCCUACAUAAAAUGAACCUACUUCUAGUAAGAAAAUGUAGGUGGAACUUUUAAAAAUCCACCUACUCCCUGCCUGUUAACAAAACACAUUCCUUUCUAGGUUUAACAGGGCAGGUCUCCAUAUCCUUCCCUGCCUUCCCUUCUGCUAUUUAUUUAUUUAUUUAUUUAUUUAUUCAUUCAUUCAUUCAUGCAUUCAUUCAUUCAGUGACAUUCCAUGCAAGCAGCACUUUUGACACACUGGACCAUAUUCAGAGGCAAGGGAAACAGGCUGAACGUCAGGGAAGGAUGUAUGCAUUUCUUUUUGUCACCCUGAUCAUGUCUCCCAACAUGCCCUGCUGGGAAACAACUGGAAGUAGUCAUUACUGGGAGUGCCUGCACAGCGGGUCUCCUGGGGAGCCCUGACAUGGAUUUAGUGCACACUGCUGCCUCCCCAUGAGUUCAGAGCACAGCAAAGCUAUCUUACUGAUGGCUGAGGAAAUUGAUUUUCUCUUUUUCCUUCCCCCUUUGUUGGCACAAGAGAGUGGAAAAGUAGUAAUGGGUUCCAACCCCACUGGGCAAUUGUAGAAAAGGGGAGGGUGAUGGGGCUUGUUGGAGUCUUGGAAAGGAGCCAACACCUGCUAUUCUGGGUUAUGGAUGGUGCUUUCUUGGGUCUCAGGGCUAUGAAGAAUUCCUGAAGUCUCCUUAGGAAAAGUGGUUCGCGUAGAAAUGUCCAAAGUAAUGUGACUUGGGAAGCUGGAAGAAGAACUACUUGUUGCUAUCAUAUUCUCUCUCUCUCUCUCUCUCUCUCUCUCUCUCUCUCUCUGUGUGUGUGUGUGUGUGUGUGUGUGUGUGUGUUGCAGUUUCUAAGGAGAUGGACAGAAACAUAUUCACACCUGAUAGAGAGGUCACUGAAAGUCCAAAGAAAUCAUUCCAUUCAAGUUUAGCUUAGUGAACUAACACAUUGAUGGGGUUACUUAAUCAGAGCCUGAGUGUUAGAAAGAUAGCAUCACUAGAGGUCCCUACAUAAUAUACAGACAGUUACUACACCAAAGACUCCUCUCUCCCAUGCAAUUGCUAACCUGCUUGUAAAAUCUCAGGCAAGUCCUAUACAUUUCUUAUGAGUUUAAUGAGCUUCCACCUUACCUCUUGAGGGAAUGUUUUCAAUAUGAAAUUACACAACACAUUAAAAACAGUUAUUCAACAGUGUGUGUGUGUGUUUGUGUGUGUGUGUAUGCGUGUGUAUGUGUGCUUGCUUGCUCUAGUGCAUAUGUGUGUAAAGUUUCCUCUUCUGGAAUAUACCUUAAUAUUUUGGGUGAGUUUUUGCCCCAGCCUCUAAUUCCACUGAAGCCAUAGAGAGUUAUUUUAGUCCUACUCUCUCAUUGUUGAUCUUCCAUCUUUGAGUUUGAUCAGGAGAGGAAUCCAAUUGACAGGCCCGUCCAGGGGUUAAUGGGGUCACCAGUCCAACCUGCAUAGGUUGCCAAGCAUCGAGUGUCCAUCACUGAGUAGACCAUGACGAGGAAGAGCCCUCUAGAUUUGGCACUUGGCAGAAUGUAGAGAAUAUAGCCUGUUAACCCCUUUCAAUCCUGAGACGUCUUAAGGGCUUUUGAGCCAGCUAGAUCUAUAUGAUCAACCUCAUUUCCAAACUCAGUGUCCAUCUAGGCACACUUUGGGUGUCAAUCAUGUGUGACUACCCUAAUUUGUCCUGAGAUGAGCUUUAACACUGGGUAGAAACACCAUAAUAAGGAGAUAAAUGGGCUUCUUAAGAAUAAAGUCUCGGCUGGAUCGCUGGCUCCAUUGUAGAACAUUUGACUAGGCUGUGUGAGGUCUGGAUUCCGUUUACAGUACUUU